CCGCCCUCCAGGAGAUGCCAUGCUACGGGCCCAUGCCAACAGCGAGCCCUCUAACUGGAGGCUGGACAGAAAACGUGAUCCACGCAACUGAAGCCUUUAGCCCGCCAUGCUUGUUAAGAAGCCCAGACCACAUGGAGAGACCCCACAUGGACAUUCCAGCCAGCAGCAGGUCUCAGCCAACAGACAGCAAGAACCUCUGCUCAUGUGAAUGAACUCAAGACUUUAGAUGAACACAGUCUCAAGCCUUUGGCGCUUCCAGCUGAGUGCCUAGACACCACGGAGCAGAAAGAAGCCAUCCUCAUUGUGUUCUAUCAAAUUCCCAAUCCACAG
RNAcentral lists this long non-coding RNA (330 nucleotides) under Mustela putorius furo (domestic ferret). Its description in RNAcentral is "lncRNA (ENSMPUG00000024280.1)". Lineage: Eukaryota; Metazoa; Chordata; Mammalia; Carnivora; Mustelidae. The record is from RNAcentral.